This 458-nucleotide ribosomal RNA is filed under the name uncultured bacterium. RNAcentral describes it as "bacterial SSU rRNA". It matches the Rfam family "Bacterial small subunit ribosomal RNA", at positions 29 to 508 of the family's 1533-position model. The record is from RNAcentral.
AUUGAACGCUGGCGGAAUGCUUUACACAUGCAAGUCGAGCGGCAGCGCGGGGCAACCUGGCGGCGAGCGGCGAACGGGUGAGUAAUACAUCGGAACGUACCCAGUUGUGGGGGAUAGCCCGGCGAAAGCCGGAUUAAUACCGCAUACGACCUGAGGGUGAAAGGGGGGGAUCGCAAGACCUCUCGCAGUUGGAGCGGCCGAUGGCGGAUUAGCUAGUUGGUAGGGUAAAGGCCUACCAAGGCGACGAUCCGUAGCUGGUCUGAGAGGACGACCAGCCACACUGGAACUGAGACACGGUCCAGACUCCUACGGGAGGCAGCAGUGGGGAAUUUUGGACAAUGGGGGCAACCCUGAUCCAGCCAUUCCGCGUGAGUGAAGAAGGCCUUCGGGUUGUAAACUCCUGGACUGGGGACGAGGAAGGACGGUACCCCAGUAGAAAGGGACGGCUAACUACGUAG